RNAcentral lists this ribosomal RNA (420 nucleotides) under uncultured archaeon. Its description in RNAcentral is "partial 16S ribosomal RNA". It matches the Rfam family "Archaeal small subunit ribosomal RNA", at positions 323 to 746 of the family's 1478-position model. The record is from RNAcentral.
CUACGGGACGCAGCAGUUAAGAAUCUUCUACAAUGCACGCAAGUGUGAUAGAGCGAGCCAAAGUGCUUUACAUUGUAAAGCUUUUGCCAAAUGUAAAAAGUUUGGCGAAUAAGGACUGGGUAAGACGGGUGCCAGCCGCCGCGGUAAUACCCGCGGUCCAAGUCGCAGCCAUUUUUAUUGGGUAUAAAACAUCCGUAGCUUGCUUAAUAAGUUUCUUGUGAAAUCCUAUGUCUUAAGCAUGGGGCGGGCAAGAAGUACUGUUAGGCUAGAGACUGGAAGACGCAAGAAGUAUGUCUAAUGUAGUGGUGAAAUACUUUAAUCUUAGGCAGACUCACAAUAGCGAAGGCAUCUUGCGAGGACAGUUCUGACAGUAAGGGAUGAAGGCUAGGGGCGCAAAGGGGAUUAGAUACCCCCGUAGUC